This 113-nucleotide long non-coding RNA is filed under the name Phasianus colchicus (ring-necked pheasant). RNAcentral describes it as "lncRNA (ENSPCLG00000012938.1)". The record is from RNAcentral. Lineage: Eukaryota; Metazoa; Chordata; Aves; Galliformes; Phasianidae.
UUACAUUCUACCAGAGGAUUACGGUAAGCUUGUCAGUCAGUGCCCAGAGGCAGUCAACACAGUGCAGUUGUGCCAGGGAUGUCCUUCACAUUGUCUUCUGAAAGUGAAGAUGG